AAGUAAAAGUCGUAACAAGGUCUCCGUAGGUGAACCUGCGGAGGGAUCAUUACAAGAACGCCCGGGCUUCGGCCUGGUUAUUCAUAACCCUUUGUUGUCCGACUCUGUUGCCUCCGGGGCGACCCUGCCUUCGGGCGGGGGCUCCGGGUGGACACUUCAAACUCUUGCGUAACUUUGCAGUCUGAGUAAACUUAAUUAAUAAAUUAAAACUUUUAACAACGGAUCUCUUGGUUCUGGCAUCGAUGAAGAACGCAGCGAAAUGCGAUAAGUAAUGUGAAUUGCAGAAUUCAGUGAAUCAUCGAAUCUUUGAACGCACAUUGCGCCCCCUGGUAUUCCGGGGGGCAUGCCUGUUCGAGCGUCAUUUCACCACUCAAGCCUCGCUUGGUAUUGGGCAACGCGGUCCGCCGCGUGCCUCAAAUCGUCCGGCUGGGUCUUCUGUCCCCUAAGCGUUGUGGAAACUAUUCGCUAAAGGGUGUUCGGGAGGCUACGCCGUAAAACAACCCCAUUUCUAAGGUUGACCUCGGAUCAGGUAGGGAUACCCGCUGAACUUAAGCAUAUCA
RNAcentral lists this unclassified non-coding RNA (560 nucleotides) under Cladosporium sinuosum. RNAcentral's name for it is "sequence contains 18S rRNA gene, ITS1, 5.8S rRNA gene, ITS2, 28S rRNA gene". The stretch from base 208 to 361 matches the Rfam family "5.8S ribosomal RNA". The record is from RNAcentral. Lineage: Eukaryota; Fungi; Ascomycota; Dothideomycetes; Cladosporiales; Cladosporiaceae.